Molecule: ribosomal RNA, 449 nt
Filed under: uncultured bacterium
Lineage: Bacteria
Description: partial 16S ribosomal RNA
Rfam family: Bacterial small subunit ribosomal RNA
Source: RNAcentral
AACGAACGCUAGCGGCAGGCCUAACACAUGCAAGUCGAACGGUACCUUCGGGUCUAGUGGCGGACGGGUGAGUAACGCGUGGGAACGUGCCCUUUGGUUCGGAAUAGCCCCGGGAAACUGGGAGUAAUACCGGAUGUGCUCGAGGGAGGAAAGAUUUAUCGCCAAAGGAUCGGCCCGCGUUGGAGUAGGUAGUUGGUGAGGUAAUGGCUCACCAAGACGACGAUCCAUAGCUGGUUUGAGAGGUUGAUCAGCCACACUGGGACUGAGACACGGCUCAGACUACUACGGGAGGCAGCGGUGGGGAAUCUUAGACAAAGGGGGAAACCCUGAUCUAGCCAUGCCGCGUGAUCGAUGAAGGCCUUAGGGUUGUAAAGAUCUUUCAGUGGGGAAGAUAAUGACUGUACCCACAGAAGAAGCCCCGGCUAACUCCGUGCCAGCCGCCGCGGUAA